Non-coding RNA from Phrynosoma platyrhinos (Desert horned lizard), 72 nucleotides. The record is from the annotation of a GenBank genome assembly. Lineage: Eukaryota; Metazoa; Chordata; Lepidosauria; Squamata; Phrynosomatidae.
GUCAAGACAGUUUAGUGGUCUGAGCACUGGACUAGGACCCUGGAGUCCAGGGUUCAAUUCCCUGCUCAGCCA